Molecule: ribosomal RNA, 470 nt
Filed under: uncultured organism
Description: partial 16S ribosomal RNA
Rfam family: Bacterial small subunit ribosomal RNA
Source: RNAcentral
ACACUCCUACGGGAGGCAGCAGUGAGGAAUAUUGGACAAUGGGUGGAAGCCUGAUCCAGCCAUCCCGCGUGCAGGAAGACGGCCCUAUGGGUUGUAAACUGCUUUUAUCUGGGGAUAAACCUAGUUACGUGUAAGUAGCUGAAGGUACCAGAAGAAUAAGCACCGGCUAACUCCGUGCCAGCAGCCGCGGUAAUACGGAGGGUGCAAGCGUUAUCCGGAUUUAUUGGGUUUAAAGGGUCCGUAGGCGGACUGAUAAGUCAGUGGUGAAAUCCGACAGCUUAACUGUCGAACUGCCAUUGAUACUGUUAGUCUUGAGUAAGGUUGAAGUGGCUGGAAUAAGUAGUGUAGCGGUGAAAUGCAUAGAUAUUACUUAGAACACCAAUUGCGAAGGCAGGUCACUAAGUCUUAACUGACGCUGAUGGACGAAAGCGUGGGGAGCGAACAGGAUUAGAAACCCUAGUAGUCCCAUG